UGGUAAAGGUGCGCAUACCAC
Molecule: non-coding RNA, 21 nt
Filed under: Arabidopsis thaliana (thale cress)
Lineage: Eukaryota; Viridiplantae; Streptophyta; Magnoliopsida; Brassicales; Brassicaceae
Source: RNAcentral